RNAcentral lists this ribosomal RNA (492 nucleotides) under uncultured bacterium. RNAcentral's name for it is "partial 16S ribosomal RNA". It matches the Rfam family "Bacterial small subunit ribosomal RNA", at positions 29 to 507 of the family's 1533-position model. The record is from RNAcentral.
AGUGAACGCUGGCGGUAGCCCUAACACAUGCAAGUCGAACGGCAGCACAGUAAGAGCUUGCUCUUACGGGUGGCGAGUGGCGGACGGGUGAGGAAUACAUCGGAAUCUACUUUUUCGUGGGGGAUAACGUAGGGAAACUUACGCUAAUACCGCAUACGACCUACGGGUGAAAGCAGGGGAUCUUCGGACCUUGCGCGAUUGAAUGAGCCGAUGUCGGAUUAGCUAGUUGGCGGGGUAAAGGCCCACCAAGGCGACGAUCCGUAGCUGGUCUGAGAGGAUGAUCAGCCACACGGGAACUGAGACACGGUCCAGACUCCUACGGGAGGCAGCAGUGGGGAAUAUUGGACAAUGGGCGCAAGCCUGAUCCAGCCAUACCGCGUGGGUGAAGAAGGCCUUCGGGUUGUAAAGCCCUUUUGUUGGGAAAGAAAAGCAGCAGGUUAAUACCCCGCUGUUCUGACGGUACCCAAAGAAUAAGCACCGGCUAACUUCGUG